GGCCAUGUUCGCAAGGUGCUCGGGCCCUCACCUCUGUCUGUUUCACACUUACAGAUGCUGGUUUUCAAAUUCAUCAGUGCACACUUGCGACUGCCACCGAGGCAUGAAAGCAGCGAAGAUAAUACCCAAACGAACAGAUCAUUCUUUUCACAGCCAGACACUAAGGGGCACUAAGAACAUGGAGCACCAGCCCAGCCCUUGAGAAGUUGGCAACGAGUAGGAGUCACUAAAAGCACAGAACAAAGCACAUGUGCUUUGGAGCCAUCAGACCUGAUUGCCCAAACUGGCUCCACGACUUCCCAGGUCCUUGGCUUGGGGCCAUGCCCUUAACCUCCCUGAAUGUAUUUGCUCAUCUGUGUAAUGGGGCACCUGACACCCAGCGCAAAGGGCUGUCAGCAGGAUUAAAGAAAAUAUGUACAAAUCCACCAGCCUAACGCCUGACACAUAUAAGUGCUUCUUUAAUAAACGGUUGUCAGGAUUAUCUUGACUGUUAGGGAAACAGACAUAUUAAUAAGAAAAAUUAUAAUAUGUGGCAGUAGGUGCUUUUUUUUUUUUUUUUAAGAUUUCAUUUGUUUAUUUCACAGACAGAGAUCACAAGCAGGCAGAGAGAGAGGGGGAAGCAGACUCCCUGCCGGGCAGAAAGCCCGACGCGGGGCUUGAUCCCAGGACCCCGAGAUCAUGACCUGAACUGAAGGCAGAGGCUUAACCCACUGAGCCACCCCGGCACCCUGGUGGUAGGUGCUUUU
Molecule: long non-coding RNA, 746 nt
Filed under: Mustela putorius furo (domestic ferret)
Lineage: Eukaryota; Metazoa; Chordata; Mammalia; Carnivora; Mustelidae
Description: lncRNA (ENSMPUG00000025808.1)
Source: RNAcentral